RNAcentral lists this RNase P RNA (325 nucleotides) under Candidatus Staskawiczbacteria bacterium RIFCSPHIGHO2_01_FULL_41_41. Its description in RNAcentral is "RNase P RNA component class A". It matches the Rfam family "Bacterial RNase P class A". Rfam says of the family: Ribonuclease P (RNase P) is a ubiquitous endoribonuclease, found in archaea, bacteria and eukarya as well as chloroplasts and mitochondria. Its best characterised activity is the generation of mature 5'-ends of tRNAs by cleaving the 5'-leader elements of precursor-tRNAs. RNAcentral also lists the same sequence under 2 other names. The record is from RNAcentral. Lineage: Bacteria; Candidatus Staskawicziibacteriota.
UUAGCAAGAUGAGUGAUUGCCCCCGCAAAAGAGCCUAGCUCUCGCGGGGGAGGAAAGUCCGAACACUAUUUGCCGCAAGGCAGAAACGGUAGCGGGUAAUUCCCGUCGUUGGCAACAACAGGGCUGCGAACAGAAACGACCCGGUUUAGUCCGGCUGAAACGUGCUAAAUGCCUACUGGAGUGCAAGAACAAAGCUGAGAGGAAUCUCAUAAUUCUUAUCAGUUAAAAGUAGUUCGCCAGAGCCAAAUAGUAAUAUUUGGCCCAGAUAGAUAAUCACUGUCGCCGCAAGGCGAUACAGAAUUCGGCUUAUAGCCUUGCUAAUCCA